Molecule: ribosomal RNA, 465 nt
Filed under: uncultured bacterium
Lineage: Bacteria
Description: partial 16S ribosomal RNA
Rfam family: Bacterial small subunit ribosomal RNA
Source: RNAcentral
GACGAACGCUGGCGGCGUGCUUAACACAUGCAAGUCGUACGGUAAGGCCCUUUCGGGGGUACACGAGUGGCGAACGGGUGAGUAACACGUGAGUAACCUGCCCACAACUUUGGGAUAACGCUAGGAAACUGGUGCUAAUACUGGAUAUGUGCUCCUGCUGCAUGGUGGGGGUUGGAAAGCUCCGGCGGUUGUGGAUGGACUCGCGGCCUAUCAGCUUGUUGGUGGGGUAGUGGCCUACCAAGGCGGCGUCGGGUAGCCGGCCUGAGAGGGUGACCGGCCACAUUGGGACUGAGAUACGGCCCAGACUCCUACGGGAGGCAGCAGUGGGGAAUAUUGCACAAUGGGCGCAAGCCUGAUGCAGCAACGCCGCGUGCGGGAUGACGGCCUUCGGGUUGUAAACCGCUUUCAGCAGGGACGAAGCUUUUUGUGACGGUACCUGCAGAAGAAGCACCGGCUAACUACGUG